AGGGACAGUGUUACUGAAGAGGAGGUUGCCGCCAAGAGGACCAACCAUAGUGAUGAGGUCACUCAAAGCAUCCUCGACCAGUUGGCAUGGAGAUGUGAUAAAGAAUGGGGGGACAAGGCCAAUCCAUCAACCUCUCUGUUCAUUCCCUGUCGUAGGAGGGGAUAUAAAGAUCGCACUCUGUUACCCCCUGUCGUCCGUCACUCAUUAAGGCCGUCAAGUGAGGAUCCUGUACCGUCAACCCCUUUCUUCAUUCCCUUGUCUACAUUGGUGCGCAGAUUUUCUGUUUUUUCAUCCCCUGACCUCAGUCCUUCUUGUGAAAUGCCACAUGAAAUGCCUGCUAAACAGGAGCCCUCUGACAAGAGGACAAAGGACAGUGAUGCUGAAGAGGAGCCCCCUGCCCAGUGGACUAAGAUCGCUCUUCCUCCAAGGGGUGACCUUUUCGCCAAGUUCCGCCCUGGCGCAGAAGACCCUACCAAGAGGACCUGGGACGGUGUUACUGAAGAGGAAGUUGCCGCCAAGAGGACCAACCAUAGUGAUGAGGUCAUUCAAAGCAUCCUCGAACGGUUGACAUGGAGAUGUGAAAAAGAAUGGGGGGACAAGGCCCAUCCAUCAAGCUCUCUUUUGCAUCCCCGCUGUAGGAGGGAAUUUGAAGAACCCAUUCAGUUUUUCCCUUACCUCAGUCUCUCACCAAGGAUGUCGUGUGAGGAUCCUUUUCUCUCAUCCCCUGACUCCAGUCCCUCAUCAUUGACACACUGUGAAGAUCCCAUUUUGUCACCCUGUGUUUUCAGUCCCCCACCACAGAUGCCAUCUGAGAAUCCCAUUCUGUCACACACAGAAGAGGAACAAAUACCUUCAACAUCUGGCGGAAUUAUAGCAAGAGGGAGUUCCUGACAUGUGUGGUUCUAGUCAAGUGACUCUGAUUAGAUUGGGAUCUGUAAAGUCACAUUAGAACAUCAUCAGUUCUGUUGUUUCUUACUAAAGCCAAUGGCUUUCUAGCAGGCCUGUGGAAAACUUAGGUAGCGUCUUGCACUAUUUGUUUUCUUUAUUCCACUACUAGAUUUAUCAUUUUCAAUGUUAAGGAUUCUGGAAAAACUAAAGAAACCUUAGGUAGCGUCUUGCACCGGGUUUUCUUCAUCUUUGUCUUUUCCUCUCAACUUCCUCAUGUUUCAGGGUGUAAUAGUGGUUCUUCUCCACACAGUGCUCUCUGGCAUAGUAAAUUAUUGUAUCCUGUUCCUCCACUAAUCCAUUCUCCAAGUUUUUAAUCUUUCAGGUUUCAGCUGCUCAUCGCUGGAUCCUUUCGCCGUUGUUCAUGUGGUUCCUGUGCUUCUGGACCCCUUAUUUUUCACAUUGCUUGUUGGAUCUCCUCAUCCUGUAAUCCUCCACCUUCAGCACCACCAGUCAGAAGGAGGAAGAUAAGAGAACCCUGUUGACAAGAAAAGUAAGAAAACUUAUUUUUAUUUUAAAUAUGGAUAAAAUUGAGGUCAAAUUGUUCUUUCUUCAGUCCAAAUAUAUUCUGUUUAUUAACUCUGUUGUCUUUUCUCUUUAUUUCAUUUCUACGUCAACUCAUGUCACAUGACAUGAGUUGACCAACAAUGACAGCAGAAGAUCAGCUCCUCCUGUAAUCCUCCACCUUCAGCACCACCAGUCAGAAGGAGGAAGAUAAGAGAACCCUGUUGACAAGAAAAGUAAGAAAACUUAUUUUUAUUUUAAAUAUGGAUAAAAUUGAGGUCAAAUUGUUCUUUCUUCAGUCCAAAUAUAUUCUGUUUAUUAACUCUGUUGUCUUUUCUCUUUAUUUCAUUUCUACGUCAACUCAUGUCACAUGACAUGAGUUGACCAACAAUGACAGCAGAAGAUCAGCUCCUCCUGUAAUCCUCCACCUUCAGCACCACCAGUCAGAUGGAGGAAGAUAAGAGAACCCUGUUGACAAAAAAAAUUCUGUUUGUUAACCUUGUUGUCUGAUCCUGUGAAGAUUCUCCAGCAUCACUCAGACAAAACAACAACAGUGGACCAAUCAGGAGAGAGAAGACACAGAGGACUGAGGACUAAAACAAACAUACAAAGCCUCCCAAGAAAAAGCAGACGAUCCACUGGGCCCAGGUUUACACACCAUCUGUUGAUCAGCAUUUGGGAGCUUUUACUUUGGAAAUUCCCAUGCAGAUGCCAGGCUGCCUGUAGCCACUUCCUGUGAAUCCAUUAAAGUAAUAUUGAGCCUUUUUUGGGUGAAAUUAGCUUUAAAAAACCUAUGAGUACGUUUUCCCACCUAAGAAAAAUGGAGCAGAAGAAGAAGGAAUGAAUGACUGUUACAUAACAAGUGAAUGUAACAUGUACUAGAGAUUCUGAUGGAGAAGUGAAAUAAAAAGCAUCAGUGGAAGCAGGUCAACCAAUGACGGUCAAACUCACUCCCCCAUCCGCCUCACCCCUCCUCCCAUCUGACAGACGCCAAACUCUCUCUCAUCGCUACAGAACGUCCUCACCAGGUCAGCCCGUCUUACUGCGGGCUUCACACGCUGCAUCGGGGGAAGCUACUCCAGCUGCUCAGUUCAGAUUCAGGGUGUGAAGCUGGGCGAUGCGGGCCAGUAUCACUUCAGGUUUGAGACAAACCAACCGCUGGGGAGAUGGACCUCACCUGGGGUCUUGUGGUUUUUUCUUUUGUGGUUCACUAUCCAUCCACCAGAGAGCGCCAGAGGCUGCUCCUCCUGGCAGGGCGAGCCGGUCUCCUAGCACCUGUUUCUCAUCUUCUCAUCAUCCCUGCAGCUCAAGAGGAGCUGACUGCCAGUUCUCUGACGCCUGAGUGUUUGCCAGUAAUGGUGAAUUCAUCAAGAUGCCCAAGUUUCCUCCAUGAGAAGUUUUUUUUUUCCUCUGAUUUUCUGGAACCUACAUCCUUGUGAUGCCAUGGAAGUUACCCACUGGUUGUCCGAGCUCCUUCCCUGUUCCUUCAGUUGGACCAAGCCGUUUUCUGGAAACCCUGAUGGGCAGUCGGACCGCUCCUCUGUCUCCAGCCACCAGAAUUUACCUGUCCGCCCUCCAUCGCAGCCUCCUCCGCUCCUUCCAGAUCAGCUCAUCCGAGCCUACUUCAAAGAAGACCCCUCUGUCAGAUCUGAACCCAACCCACCAUGAUCCCCUCCCGAGCCAGAACCACCAGCUCCACAAUGUGCCGCCUUCUCCGAGAGCCGUUCCAUCAUAUCUGAAUCUUCAAUAAAGUAUCUUUACUGAUUAUCUGUUCUGCAUGUGGGCAAAAAGACUAGAAUCCAACCUGACAGCAUUUCUCUGGAUGUAGCAGCUCGACUCUCCUGUCAAAACAUCAUUGACUCUGCAAGGUUUCUGGUGCCUGGCUGGAGACGAGAUUCUGACGAUUCAAGAAUCAAAACAAAAUAUCAGAGUAAAUAGUUAGAAGGCAGAUUUGUUUUCUCUUCAUUAUUGUUUUCAUUAUUAAUGGUUCAUGACACAAAAUUCCUAAGUGCUGUAACUAUGAGUUCAAUAAAAUGGUCUUCUUUCAA
This is a long non-coding RNA of Gambusia affinis (western mosquitofish), 3497 nucleotides long. RefSeq lists it as uncharacterized. The transcript is spliced from 9 exons. Lineage: Eukaryota; Metazoa; Chordata; Actinopteri; Cyprinodontiformes; Poeciliidae. The record is from RefSeq and is a predicted model, not a curated record.